This 786-nucleotide ribosomal RNA is filed under the name uncultured bacterium. Its description in RNAcentral is "bacterial SSU rRNA". It matches the Rfam family "Bacterial small subunit ribosomal RNA", at positions 8 to 796 of the family's 1533-position model. The record is from RNAcentral.
AGAGUUUGAUCCUGGCUCAGGGCGAACGCUGGCGGCGUGCUUAACACAUGCAAGUCGAGUGCGCGCCUGUAGCAAUACAGGUGGCGCACGGCGCACGGGUGCGUAACACGUGGGUAAUCUGCCCUUCGAUGGGGAAUAACCUCGCGAAAGCGAGGCUAAUUCCGCAUAACAUUCCGAGAACUUUGGUUUUUGGAUUCAAAGGCGUAAGUCGUCGGAGGAGGAGCCCGCGCACGAUUAGCUAGUUGGUAGGGUAGUGGCCUACCAAGGCUAUGAUCGUUAGCUGGUCUGAGAGGAUGGCCAGCCACACUGGAACUGAGACACGGUCCAGACUCCUACGGGAGGCAGCAGUGGGGAAUCUUGCACAAUGGGCGAAAGCCUGAUGCAGCGACGCCGCGUGGGGGAUGAAGCUUCUCGGAGUGUAAACCCCUUUCGACCCGGACGAAUGCCCCGCAAGGGGACUGACGGUACGGGUAUAAGAAGCCCCGGCUAACUACGUGCCAGCAGCCGCGGUAAGACGUAGGGGGCCAGCGUUGCUCGGAAUUACUGGGUGUAAAGGGUUCGUAGGCGGUGUAGCAAGUUGGGAGUGAAAUCUCUGGGCUCAACCCAGAGGCUGCUUCCAAAACUGCUGUGCUUGAGUGUGGGAGAGGCGCGUGGAAUUGCAGGUGUAGCGGUGAAAUGCGUAGAUAUCUGCAGGAACACCCGUGGCGAAAGCGGCGCGCUGGACCACUACUGACGCUGAGGAACGAAAGCUAGGGGAGCAAACAGGAUUAGAUACCCUGGUAGUCC